This 85-nucleotide transfer RNA is filed under the name Felis catus (domestic cat). It matches the Rfam family "tRNA". Rfam says of the family: Transfer RNA (tRNA) molecules are approximately 80 nucleotides in length. Their secondary structure includes four short double-helical elements and three loops (D, anti-codon, and T loops). Lineage: Eukaryota; Metazoa; Chordata; Mammalia; Carnivora; Felidae. The record is from Rfam by way of RNAcentral.
GCCUGGGUAGCUCAGUUGGUUGAGCGCUUGACUUUGGCUCAGGUCAUGAUCUCACAGUUCGUGGGUUCGAGCCCCAUGUCAGGCU